CCUACGGGUGACUGCAGUGGGGAAUAUUGGGCAAUGGGCGCAAGCCUGACCCAGCAACGCCGCGUGAAGGAAGAAGGCUUUCGGGUUGUAAACUUCUUUUCUCAGGGACGAAGAAAGUGACGGUAUCUGAGGAAUAAGCCACGGCUAACUACGGGCCAGCAGCCGGGGUAAUACGUAGGUGGCAAGCGUUAUCCGGAUUUUUUGGGGGGAAAGGGCGUGUAGGCGGGGGCGGAAAGCAGAUGUUAAAACUCAGGGCUCAACCCUGUGCCUGCAUUUGAAACUGUGUUUCUUGAGUGCUGGAGAGGCAGUCGGAAUUCCGAGUGUAGUGGUGAAAUGCGUAGAUAUACGGAGGAACACCAGUGGCGAAGGCGGAUUGCUGGACAGUAACUGACGCUGAGGCGCGAAAGCGUGGGGAGCAAACAGGAUUAGAUACCCUGGUAGUC
Molecule: ribosomal RNA, 443 nt
Filed under: uncultured bacterium
Lineage: Bacteria
Description: partial 16S ribosomal RNA
Rfam family: Bacterial small subunit ribosomal RNA
Source: RNAcentral